RNAcentral lists this ribosomal RNA (467 nucleotides) under uncultured bacterium. RNAcentral describes it as "partial 16S ribosomal RNA". It matches the Rfam family "Bacterial small subunit ribosomal RNA", at positions 28 to 507 of the family's 1533-position model. The record is from RNAcentral.
GAUGAACGCUGGCGGCGUGCUUAACACAUGCAAGUCGAACGGAAAGGCCCAAGCUUGCUUGGGUACUCGAGUGGCGAACGGGUGAGUAACACGUGGGUGAUCUGCCCUGCACUUCGGGAUAAGCCUGGGAAACUGGGUCUAAUACCGGAUAGGACGAUGGUUUGGAUGCCAUUGUGGAAAGUUUUUUCGGUGUGGGAUGAGCUCGCGGCCUAUCAGCUUGUUGGUGGGGUAAUGGCCUACCAAGGCGUCGACGGGUAGCCGGCCUGAGAGGGUGUACGGCCACAUUGGGACUGAGAUAAGGCCCAGACGCCUACGGGAGGCAGCAGUGGGGAAGAUUGAACAAUGGGCGCAAGCCUGAUGCAGCGACGCCGCGUGGGGAUGACGGCCUUCGGGUUGUAAACUCCUUUCGCUAGGGACGAAGCGUUUUUGUGACGGUACCUGGAGAAGAAGCACCGGCUAACUACGUG